GAUGAACGCUGGCGGCGUGCCUAAUACAUGCAAGUCGAGCGAACAGACGAGGAGCUUGCUCCUCUGACGUUAGCGGCGGACGGGUGAGUAACACGUGGAUAACCUACCUAUAAGACUGGGAUAACUUCGGGAAACCGGAGCUAAUACCGGAUAAUAUAUUGAACCGCAUGGUUCAAUAGUGAAAGACGGUUUUGCUGUCACUUAUAGAUGGAUCCGCGCCGCAUUAGCUAGUUGGUAAGGUAACGGCUUACCAAGGCAACGAUGCGUAGCCGACCUGAGAGGGUGAUCGGCCACACUGGAACUGAGCCACGGUCCAGACUCCUACGGGAGGCAGCAGUAGGGAAUCUUCCGCAAUGGGCGAAAGCCUGACGGAGCAACGCCGCGUGAGUGAUGAAGGUCUUCGGAUCGUAAAACUCUGUUAUUAGGGAAGAACAAACGUGUAAGUAACUAUGCACGUCUUGACGGUACCUAAUCAGAAAGCCACGGCUAACUACGUG
This 497-nucleotide ribosomal RNA is filed under the name uncultured bacterium. Its description in RNAcentral is "partial 16S ribosomal RNA". It matches the Rfam family "Bacterial small subunit ribosomal RNA", at positions 28 to 507 of the family's 1533-position model. The record is from RNAcentral.